This 309-nucleotide ribosomal RNA is filed under the name uncultured bacterium. RNAcentral describes it as "partial 16S ribosomal RNA". It matches the Rfam family "Bacterial small subunit ribosomal RNA", at positions 504 to 808 of the family's 1533-position model. The record is from RNAcentral.
AGAGACAGCAGUCGCCGGGGAAAACAGAGGGUGCAAGCGUUAAUCGGAAUUACUGGGCGUAAAGCGCGCGUAGGUGGUUUGUUAAGUUGGAUGUGAAAGCCCCGGGCUCAACCUGGGAACUGCAUCCAAAACUGGCAAGCUAGAGUACGGUAGAGGGUGGUGGAAUUUCCUGUGUAGCGGUGAAAUGCGUAGAUAUAGGAAGGAACACCAGUGGCGAAGGCGACCACCUGGACUGAUACUGACACUGAGGUGCGAAAGCGUGGGGAGCAAACAGGAUUAGAUACCCCCGUAGUCCCUGUCUCUUAUACA